GGAGGCGUCGCCUAGUUGGUCUAUGGCGCUCGCUUGGAAAGCGGGUUGGGUGCAAGCCCUCGCGGGUUCGAAUCCCGCCGCCUCCG
Molecule: transfer RNA, 86 nt
Filed under: Propionibacteriaceae bacterium
Lineage: Bacteria; Bacillati; Actinomycetota; Actinomycetes; Propionibacteriales; Propionibacteriaceae
Description: tRNA-Ser
Rfam family: tRNA
About the family: Transfer RNA (tRNA) molecules are approximately 80 nucleotides in length. Their secondary structure includes four short double-helical elements and three loops (D, anti-codon, and T loops).
Source: RNAcentral